This 172-nucleotide ribosomal RNA is filed under the name Pseudo-nitzschia delicatissima. RNAcentral's name for it is "5.8S ribosomal RNA". It matches the Rfam family "5.8S ribosomal RNA". From Rfam's summary of the family: 5.8S ribosomal RNA (5.8S rRNA) is a component of the large subunit of the eukaryotic ribosome. It is transcribed by RNA polymerase I as part of the 45S precursor that also contains 18S and 28S rRNA. Lineage: Eukaryota; Bacillariophyta; Bacillariophyceae; Bacillariales; Bacillariaceae. RNAcentral also lists the same sequence under 1 other name. The record is from RNAcentral.
UAAUGACUUACAACUUUCAGCGGUGGAUGUCUAGGUUCCCACAACGAUGAAGAACGCAGCGAAAUGCGAUACGUAAUGCGAAUUGCAAGACCUCGUGAAUCAUUAAGAUUUUGAACGCACAUUGCGCUUUCGGGAUUUUCCUGAUAGCAUGCUUGUCUGAGUGUCUGUGGAU